AAGUCGAGCGGACAGAUGGGAGCUUGCUCCCUGAUGUUAGCGGCGGACGGGUGAGUAACACGUGGGUAACCUGCCUGUAAGACUGGGAUAACUCCGGGAAACCGGGGCUAAUACCGGAUGCUUGUUUGAACCGCAUGGUUCAAACAUAAAAGGUGGCUUCGGCUACCACUUACAGAUGGACCCGCGGCGCAUUAGCUAGUUGGUGAGGUAAUGGCUCACCAAGGCAACGAUGCGUAGCCGACCUGAGAGGGUGAUCGGCCACACUGGGACUGAGACACGGCCCAGACUCCUACGGGAGGCAGCAGUAGGGAAUCUUCCGCAAUGGACGAAAGUCUGACGGAGCAACGCCGCGUGAGUGAUGAAGGUUUUCGGAUCGUAAAGCUCUGUUGUUAGGGAAGAACAAGUACCGUUCGAAUAGGGCGGUACCUUGACGGUACCUAACCAGAAAGCCACGGCUAACUACGUGCCAGCAGCCGCGGUAAUACGUAGGUGGCAAGCGUUGUCCGGAAUUAUUGGGCGUAAAGGGCUCGCAGGCGGUUCCUUAAGUCUGAUGUGAAAGCCCCCGGCUCAACCGGGGAGGGUCAUUGGAAACUGGGGAACUUGAGUGCAGAAGAGGAGAGUGGAAUUCCACGUGUAGCGGUGAAAUGCGUAGAGAUGUGGAGGAACAUCAGUGGCGAAGGCGACUCUCUGGUCUGUAACUGACGCUGAGGAGCGAAAG
Molecule: ribosomal RNA, 718 nt
Filed under: Bacillus subtilis
Lineage: Bacteria; Bacillati; Bacillota; Bacilli; Caryophanales; Bacillaceae
Description: bacterial SSU rRNA
Rfam family: Bacterial small subunit ribosomal RNA
Source: RNAcentral